RNAcentral lists this RNase P RNA (361 nucleotides) under Candidatus Babelota bacterium. Its description in RNAcentral is "RNase P RNA component class A". It matches the Rfam family "Bacterial RNase P class A". Rfam says of the family: Ribonuclease P (RNase P) is a ubiquitous endoribonuclease, found in archaea, bacteria and eukarya as well as chloroplasts and mitochondria. Its best characterised activity is the generation of mature 5'-ends of tRNAs by cleaving the 5'-leader elements of precursor-tRNAs. Cellular RNase Ps are ribonucleoproteins. The record is from RNAcentral.
UAGGUAUAUCGGGCAACCGCUCUUUAUCUAUUUUAGGUCAAAAGAGAGGAAAGUCCGGACUCCAAACAAGAUAGAUGCCUUACAAGACAAUAUUUUUGUUCAAGUAAGGGAGGCGAAAGCCUACGGAAAGUGCCACAGAAAAUAUACCGCCCAAUUUUUGGGUAAGGGUGAAAAUGUGCGGUAAGAGCGUACAGAUAAACAGAGUAAUUUGUUUAUUCAGGUAAACCCCGUCUGGAGUAAGACAAAAUAAACAAGUUGUAAGUUUCUUGUUCUUUUUUUAAAACUUGUGGGUAUGUCGCAAAGAUAGAUGGUUGCCACUCUUUAAAGAGUACAGAAUCCGGCUUAUAGAUAUGCCUAAAAA